CCUACGUGAGGCAGCAGUGGGGAAUAUUGCACAAUGGGGGAAACCCUGAUGCAGCGACGCCGCGUGAGUGAAGAAGUAUCUCGGUACGUAAAGCUCUAUCAGCAGGGAAGAAAAUGACGGUACCUGACUAAGAAGCCCCGGCUAACUACGUGCCAGCAGCCGCGGUAAUACGGAGGGGGCAAGCGUUAUCCGGAUUUACUGGGUGUAAAGGGAGCGUAGACGGGAGUACAAGUCUGGAGUGAAAUCCCGGGGCUUAACCCCGGAACUGCUUUGGACACUGGGCGUCUGGAGUGCAGGAGGGGUAAGCGGAAUUCCGGGUGUAGCGGUGAAAUGCGUAGAUAUUAGGAGGAACACCGGUGGCGAAGGCGGCUUACUGGACUGUAACUGACGUUGAGGCACGAAAGCGUGGGGAGCAAACAGGAUUAGAUACCCCAGUAGUC
RNAcentral lists this ribosomal RNA (440 nucleotides) under uncultured bacterium. Its description in RNAcentral is "partial 16S ribosomal RNA". It matches the Rfam family "Bacterial small subunit ribosomal RNA", at positions 338 to 795 of the family's 1533-position model. The record is from RNAcentral.